AUAGGUUAAGUUAAUAAGGGCGCAUGGUGGAUGCCUUGGCACUAGAAGGCGAUGAAGGACGUGACUAACUACGAUAUGCCUCGGUUAGCUGUAAGUAAGCUUACCCGGGGGUUUCCGAAUGGGGCAACCCGAUCUUAAUGAUCAUCAUCUUUUUGAAUUCAUAGAUUAGAUGAAGCAAACGCUGUGAACUGAAACAUCUCAGUAGCAGUAGGAAAGUAAAGAAAUUUCGAUUCCGUCAGUAGCGGCGAGCGAACGCGGAAGAGCCCAAACCUGGAUGCUUGCAUCCAGGGGUUGUAGGACUGAUGUUGAGUUACAAAGGUAUAAGAUAGCAGAAACAGUUGGGAAGCUGUUCCAAAGAGGGUGACAGGCCCGUAUGCGAAAUCUUGUACUCUCUAAUCAGGAUCCUGAGUACGGCCCAGCACGUGAAAUUGGGUCGGAAUCUGGGAGGACCAUCUC
This 456-nucleotide ribosomal RNA is filed under the name Oenococcus oeni. RNAcentral describes it as "bacterial LSU rRNA". It matches the Rfam family "Bacterial large subunit ribosomal RNA", at positions 1 to 459 of the family's 2925-position model. The record is from RNAcentral. Lineage: Bacteria; Bacillati; Bacillota; Bacilli; Lactobacillales; Lactobacillaceae.